CCUACGGGGGGCAGCAGUGAGGAAUAUUGGUCAAUGGGCGGAAGCCUGAACCAGCCAAGUAGCGUGCAGGAUGACGGCCCUACGGGUUGUAAACUGCUUUUAUACGGGAAUAACGUGCCUUACGUGUAGGGUUUUGCAUGUACCUUAUGAAUAAGGACCGGCUAAUUCCGUGCCAGCAGCCGCGGUAAUACGGAGGGUCCGGGCGUUAUCCGGAUUUAUUGGGUUUAAAGGGAGCGUAGCCGGUAUGUUAAGUCAGCUGUGAAAUGUCCCGGCUCAACCGUAGACGUGCAAGGGAGACUGGCCGUCUUGAGUGCAGGAGAGGGAGGCGGAAUUAGAGGUGUAGCGGGGAAAUGCGUAGAUAUGACGAAGAACCCCGAUUGCGAAGGCAGCUUGCUGCAGCGGAACUGACGCUGAUGCUCGAAAGCGCGGGUAUCGAACAGGAUUAGAUACCCCUGUAGUC
RNAcentral lists this ribosomal RNA (460 nucleotides) under uncultured bacterium. RNAcentral's name for it is "partial 16S ribosomal RNA". It matches the Rfam family "Bacterial small subunit ribosomal RNA", at positions 338 to 795 of the family's 1533-position model. The record is from RNAcentral.